GACGGAGGGGGCAAGCGUUGUCCGGAAUCACUGGGCGUAAAGGGCGCGUAGGCGGCCGAUCAAGUCGGGGGUGAAAGCCUGUGGCUCAACCACAGAAUUGCCUUCGAUACUGUUUGGCUUGAGACCGGAAGAGGUAAGUGGAACUGCGAGUGUAGAGGUGAAAUUCGUAGAUAUUCGCAAGAACACCAGUGGCGAAGGCGGCUUACUGGUCCGGUUCUGACGCUGAGGCGCGAAAGCGUGGGGAGCAAACAGG
This 253-nucleotide ribosomal RNA is filed under the name uncultured bacterium. RNAcentral's name for it is "partial 16S ribosomal RNA". It matches the Rfam family "Bacterial small subunit ribosomal RNA", at positions 524 to 776 of the family's 1533-position model. The record is from RNAcentral.